This 159-nucleotide ribosomal RNA is filed under the name uncultured bacterium. RNAcentral describes it as "partial 16S ribosomal RNA". It matches the Rfam family "Bacterial small subunit ribosomal RNA", at positions 355 to 507 of the family's 1533-position model. The record is from RNAcentral.
UGGGGAAUUUUGCGCAAUGGGCGAAAGCCUGACGCAGCAACGCCGCGUGAGUGAUGAAGGUCUUCGGAUCGUAAAGCUCUUUCGGCCGGGACGAAAACGGGUUGGCCAAUAUCCAACUCCUUGACGGUACCGGAAGAAGAAGCACCGGCUAACUCUGUG